Molecule: ribosomal RNA, 373 nt
Filed under: uncultured bacterium
Lineage: Bacteria
Description: bacterial SSU rRNA
Rfam family: Bacterial small subunit ribosomal RNA
Source: RNAcentral
AUACGGAGGAUGCAAGCGUUAUCCGGAUUCAUUGGGUUUAAAGGGUGCGCAGGCGGAUUAAUAAGUCAGUGGUGAAAUCCUACGGCUCAACUGUAGAACUGCCAUUGAUACUGUUAGUCUUGAGUAUUGUUGAGGUAGGCGGAAUGUGUCAUGUAGCGGUGAAAUGCUUAGAUAUGACACAGAACACCAAUCGCGAAGGCAGCUUACCAAGCAAUAACUGACGCUCAUGCACGAAAGCGUGGGGAUCAAACAGGAUUAGAUACCCUGGUAGUCCACGCUGUAAACGAUGAACACUCGAUGUUGGCGAUACACAGUCAGCGUCUGAGCGAAAGUAUUAAGUGUUCCACCUGGGGAGUACGGUCGCAAGAUUGAA